UGGGGAAUAUAGCACAAUGGGGGAAACCCUGAUGCAGCGACGCCGCGUGAACGAAGAAGGUAUUCGUAUCGUAAAGUUCUGUCCUAUGGGAAGAUAAUGACAGUACCAUAGAAGAAAGCUCCGGCUAAAUACGUGCCAGCAGCCGCGGUAAUACGUAUGGAGCGAGCGUUGUCCGGAAUUAUUGGGCGUAAAGGGUACGCAGGCGGUUUAAUAAGUCGAAUGUUAAAGAUCGGGGCUCAACCCCGCAAAGCAUUGGAAACUGAUAAACUUGAGUAGUGGAGAGGAAAGUGGAAUUCCUAGUGUAGUGGUGAAAUACGUAGAUAUUAGGAGGAAUACCAGUAGCGAAGGCGACUUUCUGGACACAAACUGACGCUGAGGUACGAAAGCGUGGGGAGCAAACAGG
RNAcentral lists this ribosomal RNA (403 nucleotides) under bacterium. RNAcentral's name for it is "partial 16S ribosomal RNA". It matches the Rfam family "Bacterial small subunit ribosomal RNA", at positions 355 to 776 of the family's 1533-position model. The record is from RNAcentral.